UGUAGGCGGUCUUGUAAGUUGGGCGUGAAAGCCCCGGGCUUAACUCGGGGAGGCCGUUCAAUACUGCAGGGCUAGAGGAUGUCAGAGGGAGAUGGAAUUCCUGGUGUAGCAGUGAAAUGCGUAGAUAUCAGGAGGACACCCGUGGCGAAGGCGGUCUCCUGGGGCAUUCCUGACGCUGAGAAGCGAAAGCUAGGGGAGCAAACGGGAUUAGAAACCCCGGUAGUCCUAGCCGUAAACGAUGGAUGCUAGGUGUUGGCAGUCUAACCCUGUCAGUGCCAAAGCUAACGCGUUAAGCAUCCCGCCUGGGAACUACGAGCGCAAGCUUAAAACUCAAAGGAAUUGACGGGGACCCGCACAAGCAGCGGAGCGUGUGGUUUAAUUCGAUGCUACACGAAGAACCUCACCCAGGCUUGACAUACAGGUGGAGUGAACUGAAAGGGGAACGCCCGCAAGGGAGCCUGUACAGGUGUUGCAUGGCUGUCGUCAGCUCGUGUCGUGAGAUGUUGGUUUAAGUACCCUAACGAGCGCAACCCUCGUUGCCAGUUACAAGUGUCUGGCGAGACUGCCGGCCACAAGCCGGAGGAAGGCGGGGAUGACGUCAAGUCAGCAUGGCCUUUAUGUCUGGGGCUACACGCACGCUACAAUGGGUGACACAAUGGGUAGCCAAACCGUGAGGUGGAGCCAAUCCCUAAAAUCAUCCUCAGUUCAGAUUGCAGGCUGCAACCCGCCUGCAUGA
This 736-nucleotide ribosomal RNA is filed under the name uncultured bacterium. RNAcentral describes it as "bacterial SSU rRNA". It matches the Rfam family "Bacterial small subunit ribosomal RNA", at positions 570 to 1323 of the family's 1533-position model. The record is from RNAcentral.